CCCAGACUCCUACGGGAGGCAGCAGUGGGGAAUAUUGCACAAUGGGGGAAACCCUGAUGCAGCAACGCCGCGUGAGUGAAGAAGUCAUUCGUGAUGUAAAGCUCUAUCAGCAGGGAAGAUAAUGACGGUACCUGACCAAGAAGCCCCGGCUAACUACGUGCCAGCAGCCGCGGUAAUACGUAAGGGGCCAAGCGUAAUCCGGAUUUACUGGGUGUAAAGGGAGCGUAGACGGCAGAACAAGUCUGGAGUGAAAUCCCGGGGCUUAACCCCGGAACUGCUUUGGAAACUGUGCGGCUGGAGUGCAGGAGGGGUAAGCGGAAUUCCUAGUGUAGCGGUGAAAUGCGUAGAUAUUAGGAGGAACACCGGUGGCGAAGGCGGCUUACUGGACUGUAACUGACGUUGAGGCUCGAAAGCGUGGGGAGCAAACAGGAUUAGAUACCCUAGUAAUG
This 449-nucleotide ribosomal RNA is filed under the name uncultured bacterium. Its description in RNAcentral is "bacterial SSU rRNA". It matches the Rfam family "Bacterial small subunit ribosomal RNA", at positions 330 to 793 of the family's 1533-position model. The record is from RNAcentral.